Molecule: ribosomal RNA, 460 nt
Filed under: uncultured bacterium
Lineage: Bacteria
Description: partial 16S ribosomal RNA
Rfam family: Bacterial small subunit ribosomal RNA
Source: RNAcentral
CCUACGGGAGGCAGCAGUGAGGAAUAUUGGUCAAUGGACGAGAGUCUGAACCAGCCAAGUAGCGUGAAGGAUGACUGCCCUAUGGGUUGUAAACUUCUUUUAUCAAGGAAUAAAACGAGGCACGUGUGCCUGUUUGCAUGUACUUUAUGAAUAAGGAUCGGCUAACUCCGUGCCAGCAGCCGCGGUAAUACGGAGGAUCCGAGCGUUAUCCGGAUUUAUUGGGUUUAAAGGGAGCGUAGAUGGGUUGUUAAGUCAGUUGUGAAAGUUUGCGGCUCAACCGUAAAAUUGCAAUUGAUACUGGCAGUCUUGAGUACAGUUGAGGUAUGCGGAAUGCGCGGUGUAGCGGUGAAAUGCUUAGAUAUCACGAAGAACCCCGAUUGCGAAGGCAGCUUACUAAACUGUGACUGACAUUGAUGCUCGAAAGUGUGGGUAUCAAACAGGAUUAGAUACCCUAGUAGUC